GAUGAACGCUGGCGGCGUGCCUAAUACAUGCAAGUCGAACGCUGGAGAUCUAGCUUGCUAGAUCGAAGGAGUGGCGAACGGGUGAGUAAUACAUAAGCAACCUACCCACGAAGACUGGGAUAAUCUCUGGAAACUGGGACUAAUACCGGAUAGGUAAUCGGAAGGCAUCUUCUGGUUAUUAAAGGUUAAAAACACUGGUGGAUGGGCUUAUGGCGCAUUAGUUAGUUGGUGAGGUAACGGCCCACCAAGACGAUGAUGCGUAGCCGGCCUGAGAGGGUGAACGGCCACAUUGGGACUGAGACACGGCCCAGACUCCAACGGGAGGCAGCAGUAGGGAAUUUUCGGCAAUGGGGGCAACCCUGACCGAGCAACGCCGCGUGAGUGAAGACGGCCUUCGGGUUGUAAAGCUCUGUUGUAAGGGAAGAACGGUAGAUAGAGAAUAUCUAAGUGACGGUACCUUACCAGAAAGCCACGGCUAACUACGUG
Molecule: ribosomal RNA, 486 nt
Filed under: uncultured bacterium
Lineage: Bacteria
Description: partial 16S ribosomal RNA
Rfam family: Bacterial small subunit ribosomal RNA
Source: RNAcentral